AGAGUUUGAUCCUGGCUCAGAACGAACGCUGGCGGCAGGCUUAACACAUGCAAGUCGAACGCUCCGCAAGGAGAGUGGCAGACGGGUGAGUAACGCGUGGGAACAUACCCCUCGGUUCGGAAUAACUCAGGGAAACUUGAGCUAAUACCGAAUACGGUCGAGAGGCGAAAGAUUUAUCGCCGAGGGAUUGGCCCGCCGUCCGAUUAGCUAGUUGGUGAGGUAAUGGCUCACCAAGGCGACGAUCGGUAGCUGGUCUGAGAGGAUGAUCAGCCACAUUGGGACUGAGACACGGCCCAAACUCCUACGGGAGGCAGCAGUGGGGAAUAUUGGACAAUGGGCGAAAGCCUGAUCCAGCCAUGCCGCGUGAGUGAUGACGGCCUUAGGGUUGUAAAGCUCUUUCGUCAGGGACGAUAAUGACGGUACCUGAAGAAGAAGCCCCG
RNAcentral lists this ribosomal RNA (440 nucleotides) under uncultured bacterium. Its description in RNAcentral is "bacterial SSU rRNA". It matches the Rfam family "Bacterial small subunit ribosomal RNA", at positions 8 to 495 of the family's 1533-position model. The record is from RNAcentral.